GACAGUGGAGGAUGGUCUGGGAUUCGCCUCCGUGCAUGGGUCCAAACUUGACCUGUGGUCAAGGGUGUCUGGUACCAAGGGAUAUGCAAGAUGGGCGCAAAGCCAAGCCAUUGAUAUCGGGACAAUCGGUACACUGCCGGUGCCGGCCUCAUUGCCAACAAUUUGUUGUAUAGAUGGUGUAACUGCCAUUGUGAGGGGGAAGGAUCAGACAUAUGUCAUUAUUCAUUUGAAAACUGGACAGAUUAGGAAGAUACCUCAGGACCGUGUCAUUUACCCUGUUGUUCCGUACACGAGCUUCUACACUCCAGCACUUGGACCUGCCUCUACAUGUGAGGGACCAAGAGAAGGUUCUUCAAGUCCAUGAAGGCGUAGGUGAUGCAAGGUCUUCUAAAUCAAGAAUGAAGAGUCUAGUUGUGAUGGUAGACGACAAUAGUGAGGUAGUAUUUCUGGUCGCAUAACUCUUUAGAACCUGUUAUUUUUCAGCUGAGCCUGUUCUGCUAGACUUCAUGCUUUGGCUAGCAUCUACUUCAUGGAGAGAAGUUGCAUGUUGUUUUGCCUUACCUCCACCGUGUAUAGUUUUCUAUCUACUCUUGAAGGCAGCUCCAGGCUGUGGGGAUCUCUCUGCUGCAUCUUUACUUGUUUGUUACUUUGUUUCUUCUACUGCUAUGGUAAAUCGGUGGUGUUCGGUGCCUGUUUUUUAGGGGGAGAGGCAGACUGCCUGUUAUAUUGAUUGAUGCCUGUUAUAUGGGUCUUUUGAACCUUCUGAUAAUUCUAUAUAUAUGUGGGAUGCUUCUGUUA
Long non-coding RNA from Panicum virgatum (switchgrass), 798 nucleotides. RefSeq lists it as uncharacterized. The transcript is spliced from 2 exons. The record is from RefSeq and is a predicted model, not a curated record. NCBI's taxonomy places the organism in Eukaryota, Viridiplantae, Streptophyta, Magnoliopsida, Poales, Poaceae.